Non-coding RNA from Schizosaccharomyces pombe (fission yeast), 5732 nucleotides. Lineage: Eukaryota; Fungi; Ascomycota; Schizosaccharomycetes; Schizosaccharomycetales; Schizosaccharomycetaceae. The record is from the annotation of a GenBank genome assembly.
AGUUAUUGCUGUAAUUAAAAAUCUCAAAUAAGGCGCCGUUUUUAAUAAACAAUCUGAGUGAAUCAUAUCGAUAAUGUAAAGGUUGCUAGUUAGAACACACAAAUUGAGGUAUAACUCGCACAUUAAGAUAUCAUAAUCAUUGGUCAAGCAGACAACAUCUGAAGCAUACCAACCAACUCAUUUGCCCUUUGAGUAACCGCUACUUCCUGCUCAACUUUUUCACGAAGCUUUGAAAUUGCAUUUUCCACCAUUACGCUGCCCCCAAGAGCAGCUCCGUAUAUAUCUAAAAUGGUGCUAGUAACUAUACAUAAAGUUUCGGAGAAACGAGGGUCUCUUAUAUAUUUUCUUAAGAAGUUUAUCAAAGGAGUAAGAGAUAAAUCAUCUCUGUUAGACAAUGCAAUCCGUAACCCUCCAACAUGAAGAAGCUCAAUAAGCAUAGUUAUGAUAAGAACAGGUGAUCCGUUCUCCAAUACCAUAUCCAAAGCAUCAGAGUAACAAAAUGAUUUUAAAGCUUUGUCGAAAGGACGAAGUCUUUUACGUCUAGCCUCUUCGACAUAAAAUUCAUCGUUCUCGCCCUUAUAGAUUUGUUUCUUUUUACCUACUACACCAAAAGCACUUCCGACGCCCCCUAAGAAAGGAGUUUUUGAGCUCGUUUGCUUGGUUAUACGUCGAGUCCGUUGCGAUAAUGUACCGUUCGACAUACCCACAACUAAAUUGCAGCUAUCCGGAGAAAGUCCCAUAGAUAAAAUAGGGCCAGAAUAUUUCAUGCCAUGGACAACUUUCCAAUCGGAGAUGUUAUAAAUUUUCACAUGUCCGUCUAAACCACCACUCAAAAGUCUAGUAUUCUCGGAGUUCAUGGCAAGGCAUGUGAUACUCUUUUGAUGAUUAGACAGCUUCUUCGUAGGUGUUUGUCUUCCAGCCACUAAAUCCCAAACUUUAAUGGAUGGUCCACCAGCUGAAAUAACAGUGCUACCAGAUUGCAUUGGAAGCACAACGUCAAUCGCUUCACCAUGCGAAAAAGACAUUACUUCUGGGUCCGCAAUUCGAGUAUCCCAUAAACGAAUUGUACCAUCAUAUCCACCACUCACAAGUCUAGUAGCACUCAUCCAUGAAGCAGUACGAACAUAAUCUUCAUGUCCAGAAAGAUCAUACUGAACGGCACCAGUUGACAAGUCCCAGACCUUUACAGUUUUGUCAUCGGAUCCAGAGAGAAACGUGGUAUUGGCAUAAGGACAAAAUUGUGUAACAUGAACUGGAAACUGAUGAGCGUCUAAAGCACGCAAAAUACUCCGAGUUGACAAAUCAAAUAUCUGAAAGUACAUUAGCAAUCAAUGGCAACAAGAAAACCUCUAAAGUAAGUUUAAAGCGUUGACAAACACCGGAAAAAUGGUAUUUUUUUAGCUAUAUACUAGCAAAUGACAGCUUCAAUCAGCUAAACUAAACUAACAAAAUUCCAUGUGCAGCUUAUCAACGUUUUAAUUGCAACUAUCUUUCAAAGCUUUUGGUAAUGUAGACUUACCUGUACAAGUCCUGUAGCAUCUCCUGCAAGCAAAAGUUUUCCAUCCUUUCUAAUGUUACCAGAAUAUGCGGUAUCCUUAAAUCGAGCAAUUGUUUUUUUAACAGACCUUGAACUAGCUCCAUAAAUUUGUACACGAGCCCCACUAGUUACUGCAAAGUCAUAAGGGGAUUCAGCGGAAAAAUGAAUACUAGUGAUAGCACUAUAUUCCUUGGCAACGACAGGAACCUUGAAUGACCGCCAAAAUUUAUUUUCAGCAGUAACGGGAUUAGGUAAAGCAGCAAAACGCUGAGGUUGAAGUCUACCAGCAGGCGCGGACAUGAUAUCCGUAUAUGUGGUUGCUGAAAAAAGUUAACCAAAUGGGUGGGUGGUGUUGGUGGUUGGCAAAGGCAAAUUAAACAGCACCGCUGAACGAUAGUUAAAUCACAUUAAAUAUUAAUAACUAAAUUUAUAGUUUACUACGAGUAAUAAAAGUUUAAAUAAUCAUGCAUGAACCUCAUUUAUUGACUGGUAACAUCCUUAUCAUGACGCCGUCUAUGAGAAACGUAGAAUUCGUUAUAAUUGAGACGAACGGAAAGAAAGCGCAUUUCUGGGUCCUUAUGGGAAGCUAAUCCAUGUAAUAAUUUUUGAAGUCGAACCUGGAAUUCCUCAGUAAAAUUUGAGAGUUCAUUUUUUAUAGGGGUGUAUUGAGCUGCCAAAGCAUCAGUCGAAAUUGGUACAUUAAUGCGAAUUCUAUUCGACAGGGAGCAAGAAAAGUUAUACAACAACUCAAUUGCAUCAUGAAAGUUUAAGAUAACUUUAAGUAUAUCAUGAAGCUGAUGAAGGAAGGAAUCUUCAUUCCUUGACUUACCACCACCCAACAAGCCCUUAUGAGUUAUACUAGUAACAUAUUUUUCAUGUGCCUCUAUAUACGUAUCCAAUGUAGCGUUUGGUUUCUCCAUAGCAAGCUGUAAUUCUUGCCAACUAAUUUCGAUAACCUGUUUCCAAUGGUUAGUAUACAAUGCAAAAUUGGGUUUUGGUUUUUCGUUACCUCAAAGAGUAUAUAAUAUUGAAGUUGACAAACAAAAUGAAUCAUUUCCGCAAGAUGACAACUGACAAAAUGCCAUUCGAAUUUUGUGUAAUCCAGAUUUCUGAAGACAUUUCGCUCGCCCAAAUUUACUCGCCUCCAGGAAUGGGCAAGGGCAAACUCAAUUCGUUUCAACCUCCAUAAAAAGUUAAAUAUUUUUAAGUAUUGUCUAGAGCAAUAUGGUGUUAUUAUUACGUUGAUAGGUGAAUCAACUUUAUACUCCAACGUAAAAACAUCCCAACCAGUUUCACCAUGUGAAAGCUCCAGAAGCCUAGCAUCCAAUCUUUUUAAUACGUAUUCAGGUUCAUAAGAUGCAUUACUUGAACGAAUGGCGCUUUCUAAAGAAGCAGUCAAAUUGUGUCUGAACAAAGUAUUAGCCGGCUGAUCCAAAGAAUUACCAAGGCUCUCCAUUAAUAAGUCCACAAAAUCACCUUGUCCUAGUAAAAGGUAUUUUUUGAUAGCCUUUAAAUGAUCAGUCAAAUGAAACACCUCUUCCAUCAAGUAUACUAAGUGAUUAAUGGACUCAGUAUACGCCUUAUCAACCACUGUUUCUAAUGAAUGAGGGUCUCUAUAACUAAGUUUUUUCACUAGCUUCUGGUAAUGCUCUUGUGCCCAGUCAAAAUCACCACAUCCAUAACGUGCGAAGUUUAAACUCUUUCCAAUCAAAAAGAUUUUGUCGACAAGUUCUUCAGAAAGGAAACUUGGUAUUAACUCUUUGUCUAAAAAAUAUUUACCUUUCCAGACGACAUCACCUUGCCCUUGAUGAUCAUGGCUUUCACUACCAUUUUUUUCUUUAACAAAAAAUUCUUGAUAAGGGUCGACCAAUUCUCCUUUAUAAAUCCAGUUUUCAAUCAUUUCGUAUAAAGGUCCAGUAAUUUCUGUUAGUAUUUUAUCACUCAAUUCUUGUAUUAGCGGAUCUCCAUGCACAUUGUAUUUCGAAACCACUUGAAUCAAUCUUUUUUUAUUCUCCUGGUUCAUAUUAUCAUUAACAACUGAAGACAAAAUUCUAAGUUUUAGCUUGGCAACUUGCGUCCAGGCAAUGCAACGCCGGAUAGUUACCAUAGGCUUCUCAAGUGAAGCGUCUGCUCGAAUUUGUGAAUCCAGAGAUGCAAUUAACGCAAGGAAAUUAGUCAGCUCUUUAGAAAUGACCGAUUUUAAACUUUGUAAAGCUAAAGACUGAUCGUUUAUAAAUGCUUUACUAACGUUAUCACCAUCAAUGGAUUGACUGACCGAAGGAUCAUAAUUGCUGAAAACCUUUAGUUCCUGAUAUAAUAAGCCUGUCUCUGAAAGAGCUCGCAUCUGUAAAAGGUAUUGGACAGGUAUUCUCUUAGACAACAGCGCUAAUUCAUUUUUAAACUGAACAUAUUCGGUAGAAAUUCCUUGAAGUACGUAAGAUAUUGAAGACAACAAAUCGGCUUCUGUAAUCAAAGUAUGUUGAACAGAAGAAGUUUCAGUACUACGGUUUAGCCUAGAUGAAUCAUGAGCAAUUGAGAUAGAACUUUCAUUUUCCAAUCCUUCAUCCCAAUCAGUAAUUUGGGGGUUUUCAGGAACUUGAUCGUAACGUGUCUGACCAAAGUUUGAGGAUUCCACUUCUGUUGAUGGAAUAUUGAUAGGAUUGGAAAUAGACUCAUCUAAUAAAUGAGAGGAGACAUCUCUUGAUGACUGAGAAAUAGGAGAGAGCAAGUAUAAGAAAUAGAGUAUUUGAGAUUUGUUGUGAAUGACCGUUUGACUUUUCAAACGCGAAACUAAGUUAGAUAAUUUAGAAAAUAAAGCAUCAUUGUUUUCUUCGGGGGGAACUAAAAAACUGUUAAUUUUGGUAUUUAGACCUUCACAUACUUUUUGAAUAUAUUUUGUACAGAAUGUCAUCAAUGUCCAGUUGAAAAGUAUCAGGAGAAAUGCUAACAGUUAGCAUGAUCAUUUACACGAAAUUAGCUUACGAGUGAAUUAUUUCCUGAAAGAAAGACACGAUCGUUUCAAUUGUGUAAGGGACAGAAGGGUUUUUGGAGUUCUGUAAAUACUUGUCCGCCAGACGUGAUAAUGCAGUUUUCACAUGAAUCUCCGACAUUUGAGAACUUCAAAUGACGAAAGUAUUUUUUUUAUUUUUGAAUUAAAAUAGAGAAAUACAAGUAUUGAUCGUUAACUCAAAAUCUUAAAGCCAUUGACAAAGUACACGCCGAAGUCGCGGUCAGGAAAUAAUGGUUAGAUGAAUUUACGCAUACACCUAUUUUUACUAGUGAUUUUUUUUUAAAUUAAAUGAUUGAUUUUAUUUCAAAAAGAUUGAAAUUAAAAAUAUUAAUGCACAUUAGAUUAGAAAUUCAGAAUCUCGUUCAACGAUAUUGGUUUUCUCACAGCAUUGGAAAACCCAUCGUGAAAUUUGAUAUUGAUUGCAUGCUUGAUGGAAACUGGAUGAUCUCCUGUAUUCAAAGCUGCAUUAUUCGAUGUAACUGCUUCAGAUUUUGGUUCAGAAAUGAUACGGCCAAAAAAAUCUCUCUUAAUUGCUUUUCCGGAAUUAAAAUCUUUGCGCUUUCUUGAAGAAUUCGAAGAAGUGGGGUUGUCCGUUAGGGUUUGUUUUUUAAUGUCUGCGAGCCUUUUCUUGAGCAGUUCCUGAGAUAGCAUUUGACGAACAGAAUAUGAACUUGUAGGUGCGUCCCAAACCAAUUCAUCCAAAGGUCUGUCAACGUUAGCUAUUACUAGAAAGAAAUAAAAAUAUUGGAACUUACGGCUCAAGCCUAUACACAUAGUUGCCAUCUCCAACGGGAAGCUGUUGGAAACGCAAAUUAUAAUGAUUUAAAAUGUUAAUCGCAUGCUCAAUUUUAGAAGGUAAAGCGCUCCUUGGCAUAGAAUCUUCUUUCUAUAAAAAGUUAGUAAAUUAAAAAAAUAUUGUUUCACGCAAUUUUUUUUUUUUUUUUUUUUAAAAUAUAUAGACCUUACCUGUUUUAGUGUAGGAUUUAUGGUAAUUAAAAUUGUACGGAUAAGUUCCAAAAGAAUUGAUCUUUCUCCAUGCAUUUGAUUUUCAUAAGCAUUUAGCGUCGAUAUGAAUGAAUCCAAUAUUUCUUUGCGAGUACGAUAAAGUUUUAAAGCUUCCAAAUCACUUCUGGGAGGAUGCGGAAGGCGGCACUUUUCAGGAGUUGCAUACAAAUAAUGAAAAUG